This 450-nucleotide ribosomal RNA is filed under the name uncultured bacterium. Its description in RNAcentral is "bacterial SSU rRNA". It matches the Rfam family "Bacterial small subunit ribosomal RNA", at positions 354 to 796 of the family's 1533-position model. The record is from RNAcentral.
GUGGGGAAUAUUGGACAAUGGGCGAAAGCCUGAUCCAGCCAUGCCGCGUGUGUGAAGAAGGUCUUCGGAUUGUAAAGCACUUUAAGUUGGGAGGAAGGGCAGUAAGUUAAUACCUUGCUGUUUUGACGUUACCAACAGAAUAAGCACCGGCUAACUUCGUGCCAGCAGCCGCGGUAAUACGAAGGGUGCAAGCGUUAAUCGGAAUUACUGGGCGUAAAGCGCGCGUAGGUGGUUUUGUAAGUUGGAGGUGAAAUCCCCGGGCUCAACCUGGGAACUGCCUCCAAAACUGGAUGACUAGAGUACGGUAGAGGGUAGUGGAAUUUCCUGUGUAGCGGUGAAAUGCGUAGAUAUAGGAAGGAACACCAGUGGCGAAGGCGACUACCUGGACUGAUACUGACACUGAGGUGCGAAAGCGUGGGGAGCAAACAGGAUUAGAUACCCCAGUAGUCC